This 500-nucleotide ribosomal RNA is filed under the name uncultured bacterium. Its description in RNAcentral is "bacterial SSU rRNA". It matches the Rfam family "Bacterial small subunit ribosomal RNA", at positions 28 to 502 of the family's 1533-position model. The record is from RNAcentral.
GACGAACGCUGGCGGCGUGCUUAACACAUGCAAGUCGAACGGAGAUUAUUAAUGAAGCUUGCGAUUUAAUAAUCUUAGUGGCGGACGGGUGAGUAACGCGUGGGCAACCUACCCAUAAGCGGGGGAUAACAGUUGGAAACGACUGCUAAUACCGCAUAAGCUAUUGAGGUCGCAUGACCUAAAUAGUAAAGGUGGCGAAAGCUAUCACUUAUGGAUGGGCCCGCGUCUGAUUAGCUAGUUGGUGGGAUAGCAGCCUACCAAGGCAACGAUCAGUAGCCGGCCUGAGAGGGUGGACGGCCACACUGGGACUGAGACACGGCCCAGACUCCUACGGGAGGCAGCAGUGGGGAAUAUUGCGCAAUGGGGGAAACCCUGACGCAGCGACGCCGCGUGAGCGAAGAAGGCCUUAGGGUCGUAAAGCUCUGUUGUAAGGGACGAAUGUUUAUCUGGCGACAGUCAGAUAAAGUGACGGUACCUUACCAAGCAAGCCCCGGCUAACU